UCAAUCCAGGAAGUCAACAAAAUAUUUUCGAAUUGGAGCCAGAUCGUUUUAAAACAAAACGAUACGCUGUGAAACAACUAGGUGUCUGAUUUUCGUUAGUUGUCUACCUACUUUCGCCCUUGUCUCGAAGACUAACAAUGUUGUUUGGUAGUAGUUCGCUGCGGUUUUCUCCCCUCCAGCCUCUGCCAGCUGAUAGCAAUGAUGUGUAUAGUAUGAAGUGUUACAUAUGAGACGAUGGUAUAUGAGGUAUUAUACGUGUCUAUACCUCGAUCGUAAAAUGUAAUAUUCAACUAACUGGUAUUUUUUGUACAUUUUGUAUUUUAUUAGGAUCCCCAUUAGCUGUAGGAAAAGCAGCAGCUAUUCUUCCUGUGGUCCACACAAAACAUGAAACAUUACAUAAUACAGAAAUAACAUUAAUAGACAAGGACAGAACUGCAUACAUUUUUUUAAGGCACACGUUGCCUACAUAUCAAUACAUACAGAAACUAUCUAGGUCUAAUAAGGGAGAGGUGUUGCUUUAUCUGUUGUUUAAACCAGGUUUGCUGUUUAUUUGAGAAAUAUGAGAUGGAAUGGAGUUCCAUGCAAUAAUGGCUCUAUAUAAAACUACGCUUUCUUGCAUUUAUUCUGGAUUUAGGGACUGUGAAAAGACUGGUGGCAUGUCUGGUGGGGUAAGUGUAAACAAUUUGGGAUUUUCAACACAUUAAUGUUUCUUGUAAAUAAGAAGUCAUGCAGUCAGUCUCUCUUCAACUCUUAGCCAAGAGAGACUGGCAUGCAUAGUAUUUACAGUUGAAGUCGGAAGUUUACAUACACUAAGGUUGAAGUCAUUAUAACAAAUUUUUCAACCACUCCACAAAUUUCUUGUUAACAAACUAUAGUUUUGACAAGUCAGUUUGGACGUCUACUUUGUGCAUGACACAAGUAAUUUUUCCAACAAAUGUUUACAGACAGAUUAUUUCACUUAUCACAAUUCCAGUGGGUAAGAAGUUGACUGUGCCUUUAAACCGAUUGGAAAAUUCCAGAAAAUGAUGUCAUGGCUUUAGAAGCUUCUGAUAGGCUAUUUGAUAUCAUUUGAGUCAAUUGGAGGUGUCCUUGUGGAUGUAUUUCAAGGCCUAUCUUCAAUCUCAGUGCCUCUUUGCUUGACAUCAUGGGAAAAUCAAAAUAAAUCAGACAAGACCUCAGAUUUUUUUUUGUAGACAUCCACAAGUCUGGUUAAUCUUUGGGAGCAAUUUCCAAAUGCCUGAUGGUACCAUGUUCAUCUGUACAAACAAUAGUAAGCAAGUAUAAACACCAUGGGACCACGCAGCCGUUAUACCGCUCAGGAAGGAGACACACUCUAUUUCCAAGAGAUGAACGUGCUUUGGUGCAAAAAGUGCAAAUCAAUACCAGAACAACAGCAAAGAACCUUGUGAAGAUGCUGGAGAAAACCGGUACAAAGGUAUACAUUUCCACAGUAAAACGAGUCCUACAUCGACUUAACCUGAAAGGCCGCUCAGCAGGAAAGAAGACGCUGCUCCAAAACCGUCAUAAAAAAGCUAGACUACGGUUUGCAACUGCACAUGGGGACCAAGAUUGUACUUUUUGGAGAAAUAUCCUCUGGUCUGAUGAAACAAAAAUAGAACUGUUUGGCCAUAAUGACCAUCGUUAUGUUUGGAGGAAAAAGAGGGAGGAUUGCAAGUGAAGCACGGGGGUGGCAGCAUCAUGUUGUGGGGAUGCUUUGCUGCAGGAGGGACUGGUGCACUUCACAAAAUAGAUGGCAUCAUGAGGUAGGAAAAGUAUGUGGAUGUAUUGAAGCAACAUCUCAAGACAUCAGUUAGGAAGUUAAAGCUUGGUCGCAAAUGGGUCUUCCAAAUGGACAAUGACCCCAAGCAUACUUCCAAAGUUGUAGCAAAAUGGCUUAAUAAGGACAACAAAGUCAAGGUAUUGGAGUGGCCAUCACAAAGCCCUGACUUCAAACCUAUAGAAACGUUUGACCCAAGUUAUAAGCAAAGCUACUGAAUACUAAUUGAGUGUAUGUACACUUCUGACCCACUGGGAAUGUGAUGAAAUAAAUAAAAUAUGAAAUAAAUCAGUCUCGCUACUAUUAUUCUGACAUUUCACAUUCUUAAAAUAAAGUGGUGAUCCUAACUGACCUAAGACAGGGAAUUUUUACUAGGAUUAAAUGUCAGUUUUUUAAAUGUAUUUUAUUUUACCUUUAAUUUACUAGUCAAGUCAGUUAAGAACAAAUUCUUAGUAAUUGUGAAAAACUGAGUUGAAAUGUAUUUGGCUAAGGUGUAUGUAAACUUCCGACUUCAACUGUAUAAAAGCCCUCUGACUACAAUGAAGAGAAAGACGUUCCGCUUUGUUCUGUGCCAUCUGCAGCUUAACUAGGUCUUUCCUUGCAGCUCUCAACCACACAGCUGGACAAUAAUCAAGAGAAGACAAAACUAGAGCCUGCAGGACUUGCUUUUUGGAGUGUGGUGUCAAAAAAGCAGAGCAUCUCUUUAUUACAGACAGAUGUCUCCUAAAUCUUUACAUCCAUUGAAUCUAUAUGUUUUGACCAUGACAGUUUACAAUCUAAGGUAACACCAAGUAAUUUAGUCUCCUCAACUUGUUCAACAGCCACACCAGUCAAUACCAGAUUCAGCUGAGGUCUAGAAUGCCGCAAUAGAGUGAUUAUUGGACGACACUACAACUCAUCAUAACAGACACGUGUAUCACCUCAAAUAUAACGACUCAUACUACAUUCGGUUACAUUCUAAUAUUGUUUACAUAUUGUGCGUCAUGUUCAAUGGGCCAAGAGAAUGAAAAUACAAGCGACAGAACCUAGCAACACUUUUCUGUGGAUAUCUCCAACUCCUACCGCCAAAAGGACCAGCAGCAUGUACAACCUGUAAAUCUGAUGUUUAGGCAAGCCCCAAGACAGAGCCUCUCCAUCCCUAAGUUGUCCAACCAUCCCUACUUCACCCUGGAGAGACUGGGGCCUGUGCUUAGACCGCUGGCAGGUGGAGGUACAGUCAGAGGCCUGAACAGCGACUCCUUCAACUCUAUCGGUUUUUUGCUUGUAGUCAUGUUUUAUUCUCGCUCUGAACUGCUGCUACUUCAUGUAGUAGGUGUAUGGAUGCUCUGUUUGUGUAACGGCAUUGUUGUCAUCUCCUCUUUCUCUAAUGUUUAUCUUCACUGAUACGCAAGUAUUUUAAAGUGUGCCCGACAACUGAUGUAAAAGGACUUUAUAAAUACAUUUGAUUGUACGCAAGUCUUUAUACUGCAUGUAUUGGUUAUCUAAUCUUUUUCACUGGUAGGAUUCUGUUUUUUUCCGAGAUGGUUUCACUACGACAGGUGAUGAUACCAGGCAAGUAAUACGCCAGUCAUCUGACGAUUUCACUGUCAAUAGUUUUACUAGUUUUAAUAGUGACUUGAGUUUAAUGAGUCGUCUGUGGUGGAUCGUGGACUUGUGCAACCUGUGGUUAUACUGGACCUCGCUGAGGUAAGCGAACACCCUCCCCAUUCUCAGGUGAUUCACCUGGUAUUGUCACAAUUGUAUUCAGUUCUAGUCAAGUUUAUUCCAUUUUAACCUCUAACCCAGGUUGUUUGUUCUUGGAAAAAACAUACUUGAAUGACUAAACUACUAAACUGGGCAGAAAUGACAGAGUGUCAACAUUAGCCUGCUAAUAAUCACUGAAACAAAAGGUAGACAGUCAGGGACCAUCAGCAUUUCCAAACAUGAUGAAAAGAGGAGCAUUUUUGGGGCUAUUUGACAGCAGAACGAACGCCAGUCUUAGACUUGGAGAGCAUCAGAAGUUCCACAAAUGAUGGAUAAUGGAAUUUCCCCCCUCAAAUUGUCCUUGCACAAUGUGGCAGUGUUCUGCCAAUGUUCUCCGGACCACAGCGAAGACCAGUUAUUUUCAACAUGUAUUUAAUUGGCACAGUUAACACAAUACAAAGUAUUCAGUGCUCCGAAAUGCAAGCAUAUACCAAAUGGAACACAAACAACAAAAAAGUGCGAAACACACCAUUUGGCAGACUUUACAAAACAAAAACAAUAAAACAAAGUCUUAGCAAAGCGAGAGAGAAAAAAAAGUAAUGGUAGGUCCUUUUAAUUGUUAAAACCUUAAAAAUAGACUGUUUAUUUCCUCUUUUUUUGUCUUAGUUGAAUCAAUAUUUAUUUAUAUAUAUAUUCUCUCUAAUUCCAACAAGCCAUUUCUUCUGUACAGGUGCACUGGGGCCAGGCUGAAGGUCUAGGAUGAUCCGAGUCCAGUAAUUAGCAGGAGAGGAGAUAAGCAGAUCCCCCUCUAUACUGGCUCGCUUCUGAGUGGCUCUAUCUGUCUGUCAGCGCACUACAGAUAUGCACCUU
Long non-coding RNA from Oncorhynchus masou masou (cherry salmon), 4330 nucleotides. RefSeq lists it as uncharacterized. Lineage: Eukaryota; Metazoa; Chordata; Actinopteri; Salmoniformes; Salmonidae. The transcript is spliced from 2 exons. The record is from RefSeq and is a predicted model, not a curated record.